AUCUUAUCAAGAGCGGCGGAGGGACUGGCCCUGAGAAGCCCGACAACCAGCACAUCAGUGUAUGGUGUUAAUUCCAGCAGAUUAAUUUCUGGCAGAUAAGAC
RNAcentral lists this non-coding RNA (102 nucleotides) under Sporolactobacillus inulinus. RNAcentral describes it as "SAM-I sequence". It matches the Rfam family "SAM riboswitch aptamer (S box leader)". From Rfam's summary of the family: The SAM riboswitch is found upstream of a number of genes which code for proteins involved in methionine or cysteine biosynthesis in Gram-positive bacteria. The SAM riboswitch acts at the level of transcription termination control. The predicted structure consists of a complex stem-loop region followed by a single stem loop terminator region. RNAcentral also lists the same sequence under 1 other name. The record is from Rfam by way of RNAcentral. Lineage: Bacteria; Bacillati; Bacillota; Bacilli; Caryophanales; Sporolactobacillaceae.